GGAAGCAGGGAGAAAGAUAGAGCAGCCCGAGAUGAGAAUGGAGGCCAAAAUAUAAGUAAGCUAGCAGAGGCCCCCGGUUCAGAUGGCGGAUCCGCUGGAACCCGCUACCAGAGGAUUUAUAAUUUAGAAGAGUUUACAGAUUAGGAUGCUAGUUGCUGAGCCCAGCAAGUUUAUGAGGUGUGUUUUUUGUUUUUGUUUUUUUCCUUCGCUUGGCGACUCUGUGGGGUUCCAGAGAGAAAGUGAGGACAUCCAAGCUCUUCUCUGCACUUAAGAUACCAAGAGCUCCAACUGUUCUGAGUUACCCACUUUACAUGUCUGGAAGGUGGUUGUGAGCCACUGGGCAUACGGGCGUUGGGAAGCAAACUCAGGUCCUCUACAAGAGCACUACUCACUCUUAACCUGUAAAUCAUUGUCUCCAGAUCCACAUGAUAUAAUGAUGUUCUUUCCCCCUCCCUUCCUCCCCCAGUCCCUCCCCCCCCCUCUCUCUCUCUCCACAUGCAUAUGCAGGUUCCGAGGAGGUCAGAGGAAGACAUCAGGAACUCCAGGAGCUGGAGUUACAGAUGCUUGCUGGCCUUCAAAUCUUAGUCCUCAUACCUCAACCUGCUAAGUGCUGGGAUUACAGGAAUGGGCACCAACUCCAAGCAAGAAUGGGUUUUUAAAUAAAAUGUUAUAGAAUAA
Non-coding RNA from Rattus norvegicus (Norway rat), 678 nucleotides. The record is from RefSeq and is a predicted model, not a curated record. NCBI's taxonomy places the organism in Eukaryota, Metazoa, Chordata, Mammalia, Rodentia, Muridae.